RNAcentral lists this ribosomal RNA (465 nucleotides) under uncultured bacterium. Its description in RNAcentral is "partial 16S ribosomal RNA". It matches the Rfam family "Bacterial small subunit ribosomal RNA", at positions 28 to 507 of the family's 1533-position model. The record is from RNAcentral.
GACGAACGCUGGCGGCGUGCUUAACACAUGCAAGUCGAACGGAAAGGCCCCUUUGGGGGUACUCGAGUGGCGAACGGGUGCGUAACACGUGAGUAACCUGCCCUUGCCUUCGGGAUAACUUCAGGUAACUGGGGCUAAUACCGGAUAGGAAUCCUUGCUGCAUGGUGGGGGUUGGAAAGCUUCGGCGGUUUUGGAUGGACUCGCGGCUUAUCAGCUUGUUGGUGGGGUAGUGGCUUACCAAGGCUUUGACGGGUAGCCGGCCUGAGAGGGCGACCGGCCACAUUGGGACUGAGAGACGGCCCAGACUCCUACGGGAGGCAGCAGGGGGGAAUAUUGCACAAUGGGCGGAAGCCUGAUGCAGCAACGCCGCGUGCGGGAUGACGGACUUCGGGUUGUAAACCGCUUUCAGCAGGGGCGAAGCUUGUGGUGACGGUACCUGCAGAAGAAGCACCGGCUAACUACGUG